CUUGUUCCUCACUAGUUCUCACGCUCUCUCUGUGAAGCUCAACCACAAACUCUCGACUGCUCUCUUCCACGUAGGUCGACGGAAUAACAACAUGUAGCAACUUCCUCUCUCAAUCUCUCGCAAACAAUCGGUAAGGGAAAAUCCUCCCCUUUUCCAUCGAUUUUGUUCGAAACAGUAACAACAACAGCGAAGCUUUUUUUCUCAAAUUCGUGAUGCUCUCUCUCUCUAUCGCGAUAUCUCACCUUCUCUCUCGCUCGAAAACUAAAAAACAACAACCAGCUUUCACUCGGUGCUCUGUAAACAAAAAAAAACGACUCCGGCUCUCAAUCUCACGGUGGUUCUAGCUUCUUUCUCUCAACAGCAAGAGCUUGUGUUUCUCCUUAAAAUCAUCACUAAUUCGUUUGUGUUUUGUGAAAGAACAAAGGUUUUCUUGACCCAAGAUAGUAUACAAGAAUAACAAUAACAACAAUAGUUAACAGCAAUUCUAAGAGUGGAAGUGGAAGCGACUUACUUGCGGCAAGGAGGAUUUCGCCGGAUUUUAUUGAGCUAUGCACAAUAAUAACAUAUUUGCAGCAAUGAUUUAAACAAUAAUAUUUGAGCAUGAGGAUGAAUACAACUUACCUACGACGAGGAGGUGUUCGCCGGUUUGAGG
Molecule: long non-coding RNA, 652 nt
Organism: Vicia villosa (hairy vetch)
Lineage: Eukaryota; Viridiplantae; Streptophyta; Magnoliopsida; Fabales; Fabaceae
Exons: 3
Source: RefSeq, a predicted model, not a curated record